This is a long non-coding RNA of Thunnus maccoyii (southern bluefin tuna), 1272 nucleotides long. RefSeq lists it as uncharacterized. The record is from RefSeq and is a predicted model, not a curated record. The transcript has 3 exons. Lineage: Eukaryota; Metazoa; Chordata; Actinopteri; Scombriformes; Scombridae.
CCAAACACCGCCGUCACUGAUAACACUGAUAACACUGAUAAGAGUUUUAAGAGCGAUAAGACAUGUGGGACGAUGUGGGACGAAGGUCGCAGAGACUGCAGAGUCACCAGAGCAGGAAACAGCCUCACAGACAGGAAGUGAGCGGCGUUACCUCGACAGGUGACACGUGGAGGGAAAAUCUACAAAUCUACAACCUGCAACAGUUUUUACUGCAGGUCACAACAAACAGGAACAGGUAGACGUGAGACCUGAGAAACACAACACACAUGAUACGUUAAGAGAAGAGAUGUGAGCGUGUCAGAAAGGCUGAGUCAUAAAUCCCAAACCUCUCAGCAGGGAGAAGACUCGGAGUGUCUCCUGUGGAAGUGUGUGCUCACCAGUACAGAGAGCUGUGGUUGAACUGGUGUUUUACAGGCCAGCCGGGUGUGGAGCUCACAGAGAGAGAGAGAGAGAGAGAGAGAGAGAGAGAGAGAGCCCGCCAACCGAAACAGCUGCAAACGUUCACGAGAGGGGAGUCGGAGCCAGUAACCAUGGCAACUGUGGCUCUUAGCAGCAUCACUGAAGUGUCAUGAAUCAUCGAGUGGCUCGUUCAGCCAAAACAACAAACAAACACCUCAGAGGUCAGAGAGAGAAUGACAACACAUCCCGCCUUGAACCUUGAACCUUGAACCUUGAACCUUGAAGGAAUCUGCAUCACGCCAUCGUUCAGCGCUGAAGGACCAGCAGAGGACUGAUCGACAGCUCAAGAGGAAAUAAUCAAUACUGAUCGGUAUUAUCCAUGUCAGCAGAUUGUCAGUGGUCUGAGGACGGUCGGCUGGAAGGAAACUGUCGAUACGUGUUCUGCAGCUCCUUCAGUCUGUUAGAACUGAAGAAACAACCGAGUCCAGUUUCCCCCAGUUCAACCCUCCAUGGAGAUCCAUAUUAUCAGUGUGGCCAAAGCGUGUGUGUGUGUGUGUGUGUGUGUGUGUGUGUUUCAGCGUGUUUCAUCACUCAGCUUCUCUUCUUAUGCAAUCCAGCUGUAAACCGUCCAGACUCAGACGGUGGAGGAACUUCGCCACCUGCUGGACGGAACACAAACUGCAACGACAGGAAAGAAGAAGAAACUUUAGUUCUUGCAUCUAAAAACACUUUGUUAUAAAGUGUUUUAAUAUCAAAUAUAAUGAGAUAUUAUUAAUAUUAAACAUAUGGCCACGGGAAUCUCUUGAACUAUUAUUGGAUGUUUGGAUGUAAAUGUAAUGCUAUACUUAAUAAUAUAUAACCUCAUGAGAUACA